AUACGUAGGUGACAAGCGUUAUCCGGAUUUACUGGGUGUAAAGGGCGCGUAGGCGGGCGUGCAAGUUAGAUGUGAAACCAUGGGGCUCAACUCCGGACUGGCUCUUAAACCUGACCAUCUUGAGGGCCAGAGGGGAAAGUGGAAUUCCGGGGGGAGCGGUACAAUGCGUAGAGAUCAGGAGGAAAACCGGUGGCGAAGGCGGCUUGCUGGGCUUUUACUGACGCUGAGGCUCGAAAGCGUGGGUAGCAAACAGGAUUAGAUACCCUGGUAGUCCACGCUGUAAACGAUGAUUACUAGGUGUGGGGGGACUGACCCCUUCCGUGCCGCAGUUAACACAAUAAGUAAUCCACCUGGGGAGUACGGCCGCAAGGUUGAAACUCAAAUGAAUUGACGGGG
Molecule: ribosomal RNA, 396 nt
Filed under: uncultured bacterium
Lineage: Bacteria
Description: partial 16S ribosomal RNA
Rfam family: Bacterial small subunit ribosomal RNA
Source: RNAcentral